RNAcentral lists this ribosomal RNA (464 nucleotides) under Vreelandella stevensii. Its description in RNAcentral is "partial 16S ribosomal RNA". It matches the Rfam family "Bacterial small subunit ribosomal RNA", at positions 338 to 794 of the family's 1533-position model. Lineage: Bacteria; Pseudomonadati; Pseudomonadota; Gammaproteobacteria; Oceanospirillales; Halomonadaceae. The record is from RNAcentral.
CCUACGGGGGGCUGCAGUGGGGAAUAUUGGACAAUGGGCGAAAGCCUGAUCCAGCCAUGCCGCGUGUGUGAAGAAGGCCUUCGGGUUGUAAAGCACUUUCAGUGGGGAAGAAAGCCUUGGGGCUAAUACCCUCGAGGAAGGACAUCACCCACAGAAGAAGCACCGGCUAACUCCGUGCCAGCAGCCGCGGUAAUACGGAGGGUGCGAGCGUUAAUCGGAAUUACUGGGCGUAAAGCGCGCGUAGGCGGUCUGAUAAGCCGGUUGUGAAAGCCCCGGGCUCAACCUGGGAACGGCAUCCGGAACUGUCAGGCUAGAGUGCAGGGGAGGAAGGUAGAAUUCCCGGUGUAGCGGUGAAAUGCGUAGAGAUCGGGAGGAAUACCAGUGGCGAAGGCGGCCUUCUGGACUGACACUGACGCUGAGGUGCGAAAGCGUGGGUAGCAAACAGGAUUAGAUCCCCUGGUAGU